Molecule: non-coding RNA, 94 nt
Organism: Mycena metata
Lineage: Eukaryota; Fungi; Basidiomycota; Agaricomycetes; Agaricales; Mycenaceae
Source: the annotation of a GenBank genome assembly
GUCACUGUGGCGUAGUGGUUUACGCAUCCUGAUUCAUUAUGUAGCAGUAAUCGGUGUUCUCGGGACCGCGCGGGUUCGAAUCCUGCUGGUGACU